UACGUAGGGUGCAGGCGUUAAUCGGAAUUACUGGGCGUAAAGCGUGCGCAGGCGGUCUACUAAGACAGGUGUGAAAUCCCCGGGCUUAACCUGGGAACUGCGCUUGUAACUGGUAGGCUUGAGUGUGGCAGAGGGGGGUGGAAUUCCACGUGUAGCAGUGAAAUGCGUAGAGAUGUGGAGGAACACCGAUGGCGAAGGCAGCCCCCUGGGCUAACACUGACGCUCAUGCACGAAAGCGUGGGGAGCAAACAGG
This 253-nucleotide ribosomal RNA is filed under the name uncultured bacterium. Its description in RNAcentral is "partial 16S ribosomal RNA". It matches the Rfam family "Bacterial small subunit ribosomal RNA", at positions 524 to 776 of the family's 1533-position model. The record is from RNAcentral.